Molecule: ribosomal RNA, 458 nt
Filed under: uncultured bacterium
Lineage: Bacteria
Description: partial 16S ribosomal RNA
Rfam family: Bacterial small subunit ribosomal RNA
Source: RNAcentral
CCUACGGGUGGCUGCAGUGAGGAAUAUUGGUCAAUGGGCGAGAGCCUGAACCAGCCAAGUCGCGUGAGGGAGUACUGCCCUAUGGGUUGUAAACCUCUUUUGUCGGGGAGCAAAAGCCGGACCUGUUCGGCUGUGAGAGUACCCGAAAAAAAAGCAUCGGCUAACUCCGUGCCAGCAGCCGCGGUAAUACGGAGGAUGCGAGCGUUAUCCGGAUUUAUUGGGUUUAAAGGGUGCGCAGGCGGAUUGUUAAGUCAGCGGUAAAAUUGUGGGGCUCAAACCCGUCCAGCCGUUGAAACUGGGGACCUAGAGUGAGCGAGAGGUAUGCGGAAUGCGUGGUGUAGCGGUGAAAUACAUAGAUAUCACGCAGAACGCCGAUUGCGAAGGCAGCAUACCGGUGCACAACUGACGCUCAGGCACGAAAGCGUGGGUAUCGAACAGGAUUAGAUACCCCGGUAGUC